Molecule: transfer RNA, 71 nt
Filed under: Indirana semipalmata
Lineage: Eukaryota; Metazoa; Chordata; Amphibia; Anura; Ranixalidae
Description: tRNA-Gln
Rfam family: tRNA
About the family: Transfer RNA (tRNA) molecules are approximately 80 nucleotides in length. Their secondary structure includes four short double-helical elements and three loops (D, anti-codon, and T loops).
Source: RNAcentral
UAAAAAGUAGUAUAAGGGAAGUGCAAAGGGUUUUGAUCUCUUAUGUGUGGGUUCGAGUCCCAUCUUUUUAA